UCACGUGAAAUUAUGAAUAAGUAUUCAUUUUAUUUGGUCUAAUAACAUGUGUUCAAACUAAAAUUAUUACAAGAUUAACCAUGCAAAUCCAAAAUUCAGUGCAUGUGCCACAUCAUGGACAGAAAAAUAACAAUCAAAAACAUCAAAAUCCACAAAAAGGUCCAAAAUGACGAUUAACUUCCAGUAGAAAUAAAAGAUUUCUGCAUGCAUAGCUUCCACCUAUACUGAAUCAAAUAUCUGGGGUGUCUGAACGAAUGGCUGAGCAAAAAACAAUUGAACACUUCGAUCAGAAAUAAUACAUCAAAUGUACAAAACUAAAUAAACUUAUGUUAAAUACACACCAUCAAGAGACAACAGAAAAAGGGCAUCUAGUCAAAACAAAUGUUGUGAACAAUCAACAAUAUAUUUUACUUCAAUAUCAAACCGCUCUCACCCUUAUCAAGUGUAACUUUUCUUGGUUUCUAAGUGUGUUUGAAUAAAUUUAAUUGUAUAAAACUGUGUUUAAGGCAAAUUUAUUUAUGUUUUAAUGUUUUACAUUAAAAUCAAAUUUGACAUAAAAUACACAACGCAUUUGAAUUGUUGUUAUGCUAAUAUUAUAUAUAAAAUAUGUAUGUGUUGUUCCAGUAUUCUAUAUUUUGGAAAUGCAUUGUGUAUUUUAUAAGAACUAGUUAAUCUCAUUAUAAUGAGCCUCACAAAAAAUGAGAAGAGACAUCAUGUUCGUCUUAAUUAACAUGAUAAUUAAGACAAAUUAAGACAUCAUGUGUCCAAGACGUGUCUAACAGCUGCUCGAACCAUUUUUUGUUUUAAUUUGACGUGUAUUCAAGACGUGAUAGUAACUAGAUAGUAACUAGAUUUGAUAUGAUAUGAUGGAGAAAAAAAAAAGGAGAAAAGGGAACGUACUAGCUUUCUCAGGCUUGCCAUCAGACCAUUUGGCAAGAGCAAAAUGGACCUUCUCGCGAGAGAGAGCUUCGGUCUUGUGAGGUUCCUUGAGGCAGUUCCUGACAAGAUUCGCACAUAUGUUGGAGUAAGUAAUGUAUGUCAUCCCUGCUGCCCUCCAAAAUGGCACUGCUCCGCUUGAUGCCAUCGAACUAUGAAAUGGCCCUGUUUGGAUAUAAAAUGACGUUUGAAAGUACAUAAUAAGUUGUCUAGUUAAACAAAAAAGCAAACAACAGAAGAAAACAUUAAUGAAUGAGACAUGUGGGAAAAGCAUCGAUAUCCCAAUACUCAUGUUCCAAAUACACCAUUAAUAGUGUUCCAAGAGCUAAACAACAAAUCAUUGCAAAAAAAAAUAUAUAUAUGUAGCAUCCAGAAACACUGCAGAAACUGUAACAAAAACUGAUUGUCCACAGGAAUGCGGUAAGGAGACAAUUCGAUAAGGUGAACAUAUACAAAAAAGUGAUAAAUAUGUUUUUCAUGUUUGAUAUAUCAAUGGAAUUUUGAAACAUGUGGUCGAGACUCAUGUUGUUAUUCCUUCUAAACUCAGUUUCAAAACCAAAUUUAUAGUUACUUACUACCGCAGAACAGAAUUCUAGAACAUGAAGAGGGACAACGUAAAUGAAUCCAAGUUGAACCAAAACAUGGGACAUUAAUAAUGUAUGAGAAGAGUGUCCCCAGCAAUUAACUUUAGAUGCAGACAAGCAUAAUUGAAACCAACCAUACGUCCUUGACAGAUAAUUACAAUUACAAUUUCAUCAACGCAGAAAAAUUGUCAAUAGAAAUAGCUUAUUUGCAGCUAUUAUAUAUUAAGUGUUUAAUCUAUAAGCUGCAAAAUAAGUUACUUAUCCAAACAGGGACAUAAUUAUAGAUGCAAGCUUCACAUAUAAUUGGGUAAUCAUCCUUGAGGUUGAGAAAUGUGAAAAAAUUGUAUCCUAAAAAAUUGGGACUUGUAACUAUUAAUUUAUACAUCUUCCAACAUCUUAGCUAAAUUAUAUUCAUAAAAAUCACUAUCACAUUACUCUAAAGCAAAUUAAGAUUUUCAAUUUUCAUAAAAAUGUUGUAAAUCUGAUUCAAAUGGAACAAGCGAAUCGAAUAAAUGAACCAUACAAAAAAAAAAAUCACAAAUCAAUCGAACAAAGGAGAAUAUAAGGAAUAUAGAUGAAUUUACCUGAGCUGAAAAUGGAAGAGGAAGACGAAGAAGCUAGGGGUUGCAGAGAGAGAGAGAGAUCGGAAGCGAG
RNAcentral lists this long non-coding RNA (2174 nucleotides) under Medicago truncatula (barrel medic). RNAcentral describes it as "lncRNA gene30549". Lineage: Eukaryota; Viridiplantae; Streptophyta; Magnoliopsida; Fabales; Fabaceae. The record is from RNAcentral.